RNAcentral lists this unclassified non-coding RNA (332 nucleotides) under Polymyxa graminis. RNAcentral describes it as "contains 18S rRNA, ITS1 and 5.8S rRNA". The stretch from base 189 to 332 matches the Rfam family "5.8S ribosomal RNA". The record is from RNAcentral. Lineage: Eukaryota; Endomyxa; Phytomyxea; Plasmodiophorida; Plasmodiophoridae.
CUGCGGAAGGAUCAUUAGCGUUGAAUGGUUGUUGCCAUUUCUAUUCAAAUGUGGAUUGGACGUGUGUGGGCUCUCUCUGUGUGUGCGCGCUCGGGGGAGAUUCCGGUCUUCCCCCGCGCUCCACGUUUUUUGUGUUGCGAACUGGAUUCAACGAUGGCUAAAGUCAAAUUACAUAUAACCAAAUACACAACUCUUAGCAAUGGAUAUCUUGGUUCCCACAACGAUGAAGAACGCAGCGAAAUGCGAUACGUAAUGCGAAUUGCAGAAUUCAGUGAAUCAUCGAAUCUUUGAACGCAAGUUGCGCUUUCGAGAGCCCUCGGAAGCAUGCCUCA